GAGGAAAAGAAACCAACAGGGAUUGCCCUAGUAACGGCGAGUGAAGCGGCAACAGCUCAAAUUUGAAAUCUGGCUUCGGCCCGAGUUGUAAUUUGCAGAGGAAGCUUUAGGCGCGGCACCUCCUGAGUCCCCUGGAACGGGGCGCCACAGAGGGUGAGAGCCCCGUAUAGUUGGAUGCCUAGCCUGUGUAAAGCUCCUUCGACGAGUCGAGUAGUUUGGGAAUGCUGCUCAAAAUGGGAGGUAAAUUUCUUCUAAAGCUAAAUACCGGCCAGAGACCGAUAGCGCACAAGUAGAGUGAUCGAAAGAUGAAAAGCACUUUGAAAAGAGGGUUAAAUAGCACGUGAAAUUGUUGAAAGGGAAGCGCUUGUGACCAGACUUGCGCCGGGCUGAUCAUCCGGUGUUCUCACCGGUGCACUCUGCCCGGCUCAGGCCAGCAUCGGUUCUCGCGGGGGGAUAAAGGCCCUGGGAACGUAGCUCCUCCGGGAGUGUUAUAGCCCGGGACGUAAUGCCCUCGCGGGGACCGAGGUUCGCGCUCUGCAAGGAUGCUGGCGUAAUGGUCAUCAGCGACCCGUCUUGAAACACGGACCAAGGAGUCAAGGUUUUGCGCGAGUGUUUGGGUGUAAAACCCGCACGCGUAAUGAAAGUGAACGUAGGUGAGAGCUUCGGCGCAUCAUCGACCGAUCCUGAUGUUCUCGGAUGGAUUUGAGUAGGAGCGUUAAGCCUUGGACCCGAAAGAUGGUGAACUAUGCUUGGAUAGGGUGAAGCCAGAGGAAACUCUGGUGGAGGCUCGCAGCGGUUCUGACGUGCAAAUCGAUCGUCAAAUCUGAGCAUGGGGGCGAAAGACUAAUCGAACCAUCUAGUAGCUGGU
RNAcentral lists this ribosomal RNA (868 nucleotides) under Acrophialophora longicatenata. Its description in RNAcentral is "Acrophialophora sp. LP-2022c partial large subunit ribosomal RNA". It matches the Rfam family "Eukaryotic large subunit ribosomal RNA", at positions 53 to 955 of the family's 3401-position model. The record is from RNAcentral. Lineage: Eukaryota; Fungi; Ascomycota; Sordariomycetes; Sordariales; Chaetomiaceae.